RNAcentral lists this ribosomal RNA (649 nucleotides) under uncultured bacterium. RNAcentral describes it as "bacterial SSU rRNA". It matches the Rfam family "Bacterial small subunit ribosomal RNA", at positions 56 to 684 of the family's 1533-position model. The record is from RNAcentral.
UGCAGUCGAGCGAGGCCCGGGGGGCAACCCCUGGAGUCGAGCGGCGGACGGGUGAGUAACACGUGGGUAACCUGCCCGGAAGUGGGGAAUACCUCGGGGAAACUCGAGCUAAUUCCGCAUAACAUCUUCGGGACGAGAGUCCUGUUGAUCAAAGCGGGGUCGCAAGAUCUCGCGCUACCGGAUGGGCCCGCGCCCGAUUAGCUAGUUGGUGAGGUAACGGCUCACCAAGGCAUCGAUCGGUAGCCGGCCUGAGAGGGUGAUCGGCCACACCGGAACUGAGACACGGUCCGGACUCCUACGGGAGGCAGCAGUGGGGAAUCUUGCGCAAUGGGCGAAAGCCUGACGCAGCAACGCCGCGUGGAGGAUGAAGGCCCUUGGGUUGUAAACUCCUGUCGGCUGGGAAGAAAUCGUUCGGGGUUAAUACCCCCGGACGUUGACUGUACCAGCAAAGGAAGCCCCGGCUAACUCUGUGCCAGCAGCCGCGGUAAUACAGAGGGGGCCAGCGUUAUUCGGAAUUAUUGGGCGUAAAGGGCGCGUAGGCGGCCACGCGUGUCUUUCGUGAAAUCCCUCGGCUUAACUGAGGACGUGCGGAAGAAACUGCGAGGCUCGAGUCCGGGAGAGGGGGGUGGAAUUCCCAGUGUAGCGGUGA